Molecule: long non-coding RNA, 442 nt
Organism: Epinephelus moara (kelp grouper)
Lineage: Eukaryota; Metazoa; Chordata; Actinopteri; Perciformes; Serranidae
Exons: 4
Source: RefSeq, a predicted model, not a curated record
AGAUGAAGAUUCCAGUGGAGGACAUCUGGAUGUGCCCCGUGAAUGUUGGGGCUCACUGGAUUUUAGUGAUUGUCAAAAUGUUUGAGACAGUCCUGGUACUAAUUGAUCCACUGGGAAACGAAGUAUCAUAUGAGAGGAAAAUACUUCGAAACUGGAGAAGGCAGGCUGUCGACAACAGAAAGCAAAAUGGAGAGUCCAGACAAUGCCACACAACAAACAGCAGGACACCUGGAGCUGUGGCAUUUUGGUGUUGAUGGGAAUGCGGAUGAUUACUGUGUGGUGUGCUCCUAUCUGGAACCAGAUGGGGAUACGAGCAUGAUAGAAAUGGUAUAAUAAAAUUUGUGCUUUGUAGGGCCGGGUGAUUAUGGCAAAAAUCUAAAUCACUAUUGAUUGAACUUUUAACCUUGAUUACGAUUAAUGAACGAUGAUCUCCACCCUUGAU